RNAcentral lists this long non-coding RNA (1641 nucleotides) under Zonotrichia albicollis (white-throated sparrow). Its description in RNAcentral is "lncRNA (ENSZALG00000000736.1)". Lineage: Eukaryota; Metazoa; Chordata; Aves; Passeriformes; Passerellidae. The record is from RNAcentral.
UAUGCUAAUGAAGCGCCGGCAUAAUACGCCCCGCGUUGUUGCCAUGGUGAUGGUUGAUGUGGGCGUGGCCUAGGGCGGAGUUUAAAGGUUUGGACGCGCGACCAAAGGGGCUUAAAUUGAGAUAAAUUCUUAUAUUUUUAGUGUUUCAUUUUAGGCAUCUCUUUUUCUAAAUUAAGAUUUCUAGGGAUUAAAAUUUAAAGCGAAUUCUGGGGGUUUUCGCUGUUUUUAGGGUUUAUUUUUACAAGAGACCACCCCCUCCCCAAACUAAUGGACGUCUUUAAGGGAUUUGAAUUUAAAGAUAAGUCUGUUUACAUCAUUUCUAGAGUUUAAUUUAAGGCGAAACCCUCUCAAAUUAACAGGUGCUGUAAGAGAUUUAAAUUUUAAGAGAAACCUGGAUUUUUUUUGUUGUUUUCAGGGUUUUGUUUUAGGGGGAAAAAACUAAUGGGUGAUUUUUAGCGACUUCAGUUAAAGUAAAACCCUGGGUUUAUUUAAAUGUCUCCACCUUUUUCCCCUCACAUUUUCACCAUCUUUCCCCUAUCACAUUUUCCAUCAUUUUUCUCCUCAUGUUUCUCACUAUUUCCCUCACAUGUCCCAAUUUUUCCUGCCCUUUUCCCCCCUCGCAUUUCCAGCACCUUUCCCCUGUUUGCCACUCACAUUUCCCACUUUUCCCGCACAUCUUACCUGCCAUUUUCCCCUCAUGUUUCUGCCAUCUCGUCCCCUCACGUCUCCACUUUUUACCCUCACAUUUCCCACCCUUUUCCUCCCCUCACAUUUCCCAGCAUUUUCUUUUCACCUCUCCACCCUUUCCCCCUCACUUUUCCUUAAAAAUUUCCUACCUCUUGUCUCUCACGUUUUUUGCUUUUUCCUCUCACAUUUUCCUUUCAUAUCUCCGCCCUUUUCCCCUCACAUUUCCCAGUCUUUUCCCCCUCAUACUUCUUGUCUCUUAUCCUUCACAUUUUCUGACCUUUUCCCCUCACAUUUCCCACCUUUUAUCCUUCAUGUCCCUACCCUGUUCCUCCUCACAUUUCCCACCAUUUUCCCCUCAUAUUUUUCACGUUUUAUCCUUCACGUCUUCACCCUCGGUCCCUCACAUUUCCCACCCUUUUCCCCCUCACAUUUCCCACCAUUUUCCCCUCACAUUUCUCACCUUUUAUCCUUCACAUCUUCACCCUUUCUCCCCUCACGUUUUCCCACCCUUUUCUCCCCUCACGUUUCCCGCCCUUUUCUCCCCUCACAUUUCCCGCCCUUUUCUCCCCUCACGUUUCCCGCCCUUUUCUCCCCUCACGUUUCCUGCCCUUUUUCCCCCUCACAUUUCCCACUUUUUAUCCUUCACGUCACCACCUUUUCUUCUCAAAUUUCCCACCAUUUUCCCCCUCAUAUUUCUCACCUUUUACUCUUCACAUCUCCAUUCCUUUCCCCUCACAUUUCCCCCUUUUUCCCUCAUAUUUUCCCACCCCUUUCCCCCUCACAUUUCCUGCCUCUUAUCCCUCACAUUUUCCGUCUUUUCACCCUCAAAUUUCCCACCCUUUUCCCCCUCCUAUUUCUGACCUUUAAUUCUUCACAUCUCCACUCCUUUCCCCUCACGUUUCUCUCCAUUUUCUCCCCUCACAGUCCCCAUCUUUUCACCCCUCACGUUUUCCC